GCGCAGCAGGCGCGAAAUUUGGGCAAUGGGCGCAAGUCUGACCCAGCGACGCCGCGUGAGGGAUGAAGUCCUUCGGGAUGUAAACCUCUGUUGAGGGGGACGAUAAUGACGGUACCCCUCGAGGAAGCCUCGGCUAACUCCGUGCCAGCAGCCGCGGUAAUACGGAGGAGGCAAGCGUUGUCCGGAAUCACUGGGCGUAAAAGGGUGUGUAGGUGUCCUGAUGGGUCAGGUGUGAAAUCCAACAGCUUAACUGUUGAACUGCAUCUGAAACUAUCGGGAUUGAGGACAUGAGGGGAGAGUGGAACUCGCGGUGUAGCGGUAGAAUGCGUGGAUAUCGCGAGGAAUGCCGAUGGCGAAGGCGGCUCUCUAGCGUGUUCCUCGUAUGAGGAGCCGAAUAAUUUUAAAUCUUCGGGUUAUGAUUAUUCGGUCCUGACACUGAAACACGAAAGCUGGGGAGCGAACGGGAUUAGAUACCCGCGUAGU
This 483-nucleotide ribosomal RNA is filed under the name uncultured microorganism. Its description in RNAcentral is "bacterial SSU rRNA". It matches the Rfam family "Bacterial small subunit ribosomal RNA", at positions 346 to 794 of the family's 1533-position model. The record is from RNAcentral.